Molecule: non-coding RNA, 47 nt
Organism: Sarcoptes scabiei
Lineage: Eukaryota; Metazoa; Arthropoda; Arachnida; Sarcoptiformes; Sarcoptidae
Source: Rfam
CAAACGGUCCUUUUAAGGACCAUAAUAUAAUUACGAAUAAGAUUAAU